GACGAACGCUGGCGGCGUGCCUAAUACAUGCAAGUUGAGCGCUGAAGGUUGGUACUUGUACCAACUGGAUGAGCAGCGAACGGGUGAGUAACGCGUGGGGAAUCUGCCUUUGAGCGGGGGACAACAUUUGGAAACGAAUGCUAAUACCGCAUAAAAACUUUAAACACAAGUUUUAAGUUUGAAAGAUGCAAUUGCAUCACUCAAAGAUGAUCCCGCGUUGUAUUAGCUAGUUGGUGAGGUAAAGGCUCACCAAGGCGAUGAUACAUAGCCGACCUGAGAGGGUGAUCGGCCACAUUGGGACUGAGACACGGCCCAAACUCCUACGGGAGGCAGCAGUAGGGAAUCUUCGGCGAUGGACGAAAGUCUGACCGAGCAACGCCGCGUGAGUGAAGAAGGUUUUCGGAUCGUAAAACUCUGUUGGUAGAGAAGAACGGUGGUGAGAGUGGAAAGCUCAUCAAGUGACGGUAACUACCCAGAAAGGGACGGCUAACUACGUG
Molecule: ribosomal RNA, 497 nt
Filed under: uncultured bacterium
Lineage: Bacteria
Description: partial 16S ribosomal RNA
Rfam family: Bacterial small subunit ribosomal RNA
Source: RNAcentral